GACGAACGCUGGCGGCGUGCCUAAUACAUGCAAGUAGAACGCUGAAGGAGGAGCUUGCUCUUCUGGAUGAGUUGCGAACGGGUGAGUAACGCGUAGGUAACCUGCCUGGUAGCGGGGGAUAACUAUUGGAAACGAUAGCUAAUACCGCAUAACAGUAGAUGUUGCAUGACAUUUACUUAAAAGGUGCAAUUGCAUCACUACCAGAUGGACCUGCGUUGUAUUAGCUAGUUGGUGGGGUAACGGCUCACCAAGGCGACGAUACAUAGCCGACCUGAGAGGGGGAUCGGCCACACUGGGCCUGGGACACGGCCCGGACUCCUGCGGGAGGCAGCAGUAGGGAAUCUUCGGCAAUGGACGGAAGUCUGGCCAAGCAACGCCGCGUGAGUGAAUAAGGUUUUCGGGUCGUAAAGCUCUGUUGUAAGAGAAGAACGAGUGUGAGAGUGGAAAGUUCACACUGUGACGGUAUCUUACCAGAAAGGGACGGCUAACUACGUG
This 495-nucleotide ribosomal RNA is filed under the name uncultured bacterium. RNAcentral describes it as "partial 16S ribosomal RNA". It matches the Rfam family "Bacterial small subunit ribosomal RNA", at positions 28 to 507 of the family's 1533-position model. The record is from RNAcentral.